GAUGAAGAACGUAGCGAAAUGCGAUAAGUAAUGUGAAUUGCAGAAUUCAGUGAAUCAUCGAAUCUUUGAACGCACAUUGCGCCCGCCAGUAUUCUGGCGGGCAUGCCUGUUCGAGCGUCAUUUCAACCAUCAAGCCCCCGGGCUUGUGUUGGGGACCUGCGGCUGCCGCAUGCCCUGAAAAGCAGUGGCGGGCUCGCUGUCACACCGAGCGUAGUAGAUUUUAUCUCGCUCUGGGCGUGCUGCGGGUUCCGGCCGUUAAACCACCCUUUUAACCCAAGGUUGACCUCGGAUCAGGUAGGAAGACCCGCUGAACUUAAGCAUAUCAAUAAGCGGAGGA
RNAcentral lists this unclassified non-coding RNA (337 nucleotides) under soil metagenome. RNAcentral describes it as "partial contains 5.8S ribosomal RNA, internal transcribed spacer 2, and large subunit ribosomal RNA". The stretch from base 1 to 120 matches the Rfam family "5.8S ribosomal RNA", at positions 35 to 154 of the family's 154-position model. The record is from RNAcentral.